RNAcentral lists this ribosomal RNA (497 nucleotides) under uncultured bacterium. RNAcentral describes it as "partial 16S ribosomal RNA". It matches the Rfam family "Bacterial small subunit ribosomal RNA", at positions 28 to 507 of the family's 1533-position model. The record is from RNAcentral.
GAUGAACGCUGGCGGCGUGCCUAAUACAUGCAAGUCGAACGAGCGGGCGCGAAGCUUGCUCUUCUGAUGUUAGCGGCGGACGGGUGAGUAACACGUGGAUAACCUGCCUAUCAGACGGGGAUAACAUCGGGAAACCGGUGCUAAUACCGCAUAAUACUUUGAACCGCAUGGUUCGAAGAGGAAAAACGGUCUUGGCUUCUCUUGUUGAUUGGACCGCGCGGCAUUAGCUAGUUGGUAAGGUAACGGCUUACCAAGGCAAGGAUGCAUAGCCGACCUGAGAGGGUGAUCGGCCACACUGGAACUGAGACACGGUCCAGACUCCUACGGGAGGCAGCAGUAGGGAAUCUUCCGCAAUGGGCGAAAGUCUGACGGAGCAACGCCGCGUGAGUGAAGAAGGUUUUCGGAUCGUAAAACUCUGUUGUUAGGGAAGAACAUAUGUGAGAGUAACUGUGAGCAUCUUGACGGUACCUAAUCAGAAAGCCACGGCUAACUACGUG